Molecule: ribosomal RNA, 402 nt
Filed under: uncultured bacterium
Lineage: Bacteria
Description: bacterial SSU rRNA
Rfam family: Bacterial small subunit ribosomal RNA
Source: RNAcentral
GCAAGUCGAGCGCGCCUUCGGGUGAGCGGCGGACGGGUUAGUAACGCGUGGGAACGUGCCCUUCUCUACGGAAUAGCCUCUGGAAACGGAGAGUAAUACCGUAUACGCCCUUUGGGGGAAAGAUUUAUCGGAGAAGGAUCGGCCCGCGUUAGAUUAGGUAGUUGGUGGGGUAACGGCCUACCAAGCCUACGAUCUAUAGCUGGUUUUAGAGGAUGAUCAGCAACACUGGGACUGAGACACGGCCCAGACUCCUACGGGAGGCAGCAGUGGGGAAUCUUAGACAAUGGGGGCAACCCUGAUCUAGCCAUGCCGCGUGAGUGAUGAAGGCCUUAGGGUCGUAAAGCUCUUUCGCCAGAGAUGAUAAUGACAGUAUCUGGUAAAGAAACCCCGGCUAACUCCGUG